This 515-nucleotide ribosomal RNA is filed under the name uncultured bacterium. RNAcentral describes it as "partial 16S ribosomal RNA". It matches the Rfam family "Bacterial small subunit ribosomal RNA", at positions 28 to 523 of the family's 1533-position model. The record is from RNAcentral.
GAUGAACGCUGGCGGCGUGCCUAAUACAUGCAAGUCGAGCGAAUGGAUUAAGAGCUUGCUCUUAUGAAGUUAGCGGCGGACGGGUGAGUAACACGUGGGUAACCUGCCCAUAAGACUGGGAUAACUCCGGGAAACCGGGGCUAAUACCGGAUAACAUUUUGAACCGCAUGGUUCGAAAUUGAAAGGCGGCUUCGGCUGUCACUGAUGGAUGGACACGCGUCGCAUUAGCUAGUUGGGGAGGUAACGGCUCACCAAGGCAACGAUGCGUAGCCGACCUGAGAGGGUGAUCGGCCACACUGGGACUGAGACACGGCCCAGACUCCUACGGGAGGCAGCAGUAGGGAAUCUUCCGCAAUGGACGAAAGUCUGACGGAGCAACGCCGCGUGAGUGAUGAAGGCUUUCGGGUCGUAAAACUCUGUUGUUAGGGAAGAACAAGUGCUAGUUGAAUAAGCUGGCACCUUGACGGUACCUAACCAGAAAGCCACGGCUAACUACGUGCCAGCCGCCGCGGUAA